AUGGCCCAUGUGCUCACUUUCAGAAAGUAGUAGGGGUUGUCUUCCAGUGUACUUCCCAAUCACCAUUAGAAGGACCCCACUGGAAUAGGUCUUCAGACUUUAUUGUCAUUUAGUUCCAUCUCCUGCUUCAUCAAUGUACUCCUUGAAUGAUGCCUGUUCAUCGUAUGAGCAAAGUUGUUUACACCAAGCUCCCCAACACAACAUCAAUACUCAACGAGUGACAACACCUCCAUCCUAUCCAGGCCAAGCCUGUCCACCAUCACCUUUCAAUAUGACAGUAAAGUAAAUGUUUUAGGUCAAUAAUUUCUUCUUUUUUUUCCUAAUUUUUACGAAACUUUUUACAUACUUUGUUAAAAGCGUGGCUCAUCAUUCUCUAUCUAGAGAAUUAUAGCAUUUAUUAUGUUUAAGUUAAUAUUUUCAUAUUUAUAAUAGAACCCAAUUUAAUAUUAAACUACAGUUCUUUAACAGAGCUCAGAUAUUUAAGUUUUUAAGUUUAUUUAUUUGAUCUAAAUACCGUCAAACCUCAAUUUGAAGCCCUGGGCUUCUUUCGAGAUGGGUUUCUUUUCGAGGCUACUUUUGCAAACUAAAGAGGAGGCUUCAAUUUGAGAUGGGCUUCUUCUCAAGAUUAAGCCCAUUGGGCUUCUACUCGUGGUUUUGUGGUAUAUCAAUACUAAUUGCUUUCAAUUAUUGUACCACAAGACUCAUUUUGUCACGAUAGCUCACAUAUUCUUGGCAAAGGCUUAUAAAUUUUGCUGGUAAUCAAUACAAAAUAUUUUACUAUAAUUUUUGGUAAAAAAGUAACUAAAUCAGCAAAUUUGUAUCUCAUAUGGGCACAUCAUGACUAUAUGGGCACAUCAUGACUAUAUAUGGCCACAUCAUGACUAUAUAUGGGCACAUCAUGACUAUAUAUGGGCACAUCAUGACUGUAUAUGGGCAUACAACAGUGUUUUGUCAAAUGAAAUUGCUUUGAACAAUAUCACAUAUUUUUGGAUCCACACAAGGCACUGACCCCAGAGCAUCACUGCUGUUCUUGUUACCAACGCAAAACUUCAAAAGCGUCUAGCAUCGCCAGUUUUGAACGAACGUUCAUCACUCUUUUUUUAAGUUGGACCUCAGGGUUGCCCACACACUUACAAAACAAAAUAGGGGUUUGAGCAAGGACUGUACAUUACUGCCAUUACCACUAAUAGUGCACGUUGCAUGGAUGGUUCGGUCGGUUUUUAAGGAUGUGUUCUAAUGAACUUAUGUUGUGAGUUUGAAUUGCAUCUUGAUAUUCAGUUAUAAUUUUUUCCAAUUUUAAGAAAUUUUAUUUUUUUCAAUUUUAAAAAUAUUUUGAUUUUGUAUUAAUUAAACAUUCUAAAUAAUAUUUUUUUGUUAUUAGCUCUUCAAAAAAAACCCUAAUGUAAUAACUUGCCACCGUAAUUUAAGCGUGGAGGAAUGCGCGGACGAGUGAGCGGUUGCUGUUGUUUAUUGUUGGUUGUUUUAUUGUUGUUUAUUUGUAUGUUGUUGGGGAGAUUUAUUUUUUCUCUAUAGUAAUGCUUUACUGAGUUUUGACAGUUCUUGUAAAUUUUACCUAAUACUUUUUAAAUUUAAACAGAUUAAAUUUUUGUGUUUUUUGAUCAUGGAAUAAAUAGGAA
Molecule: long non-coding RNA, 1637 nt
Filed under: Anneissia japonica
Lineage: Eukaryota; Metazoa; Echinodermata; Crinoidea; Comatulida; Comatulidae
Description: uncharacterized LOC117124455
Source: RNAcentral